This 484-nucleotide ribosomal RNA is filed under the name uncultured bacterium. Its description in RNAcentral is "partial 16S ribosomal RNA". It matches the Rfam family "Bacterial small subunit ribosomal RNA", at positions 30 to 507 of the family's 1533-position model. The record is from RNAcentral.
AUUGAACGCUGGCGGCAGGCCUAACACAUGCGAGUCGAGCGGAUGAAGGGAGCUUUCUCCUGGAUUCAGCUGCGGACUGGUGAGUAAUGCCUAUGAAUCUGCCUGGUUGUGGUUUAUAACGUCCUUAAACGGGCGCUAAUACCGCAUACUUCCUUAGGGUGAUAGUUGGGGUUCUUCUUACCUCACUCUUUCUUAUGUUCCUAGGUCGGAUUAGCUAGUUGGUUGGGUAAAGGCCUACCAAGGCGACGAUCCGUAACUUGUGUGAGAGGAUGAUCAGUGACACUGGAACUGAGACACGGUCCAGACUACUACGGGAGGCAGCAGUGGGGAAUAGUGGAAAAUGGGCGAAAGCCUGAUAAAGCAAUGCCGCGUGUGUGAAGAAGGUCUUCGGAUUGUAAAGAAAUUUAAGUUGGGAGGAAGGGAAGUAAGUUAAUAACGUGCUGUAUUGACGUUAACAACAGAAUAAGCACCGGCUAACUACGUG